UACGGGGGGGGCAAGCGUUGUUCGGAAUUACUGGGCGUAAAGGGCCAGUAGGCGGCCAACUAAGUCACACGUGAAAUCCCCAGGCUUAACCUGGGAACUGCGUGUGAUACUGGAUGGCUUGAAUUCGGGAGAGGGAUGCAGAAUUCCAGGUGUAGCGGUGAAAUGCGUAGAGAUUUGGAGGAACACCAGUGGCGAAGGCGACUUUCUGGUCUGUAACUGACGCUGAGGCGCGAAAGCAUGGGGAGCAAACAGG
RNAcentral lists this ribosomal RNA (253 nucleotides) under uncultured prokaryote. RNAcentral describes it as "partial 16S ribosomal RNA". It matches the Rfam family "Bacterial small subunit ribosomal RNA", at positions 524 to 776 of the family's 1533-position model. The record is from RNAcentral.